RNAcentral lists this transfer RNA (73 nucleotides) under Leucobacter luti. It matches the Rfam family "tRNA". From Rfam's summary of the family: Transfer RNA (tRNA) molecules are approximately 80 nucleotides in length. Their secondary structure includes four short double-helical elements and three loops (D, anti-codon, and T loops). Further hydrogen bonds mediate the characteristic L-shaped molecular structure. tRNAs have two regions of fundamental functional importance: the anti-codon, which is responsible for specific mRNA codon recognition, and the 3' end, to which the tRNAs corresponding amino acid is attached (by aminoacyl-tRNA synthetases). tRNAs cope with the degeneracy of the genetic code in two manners: having more than one tRNA (with a specific anti-codon) for a particular amino acid; and 'wobble' base-pairing, i.e. permitting non-standard base-pairing at the 3rd anti-codon position. The record is from Rfam by way of RNAcentral. Lineage: Bacteria; Bacillati; Actinomycetota; Actinomycetes; Micrococcales; Microbacteriaceae.
GCGCCUGUAGCUCAGUUGGUAGAGCUGCGGACUCUUAAUCCGUAGGCCCCAGGUUCGAACCCUGGCGGGCGCA